AGAGUUUGAUCCUGGCUCAGGACGAACGCUGGCGGCGUGCUUAACACAUGCAAGUCGAACGGUAAGGCCCCAGCUUGCUGGGGUACACGAGUGGCGAACGGGUGAGUAACACGUGGGUGACCUGCCCCGCACUUCGGGAUAAGCCUGGGAAACUGGGUCUAAUACCGGAUAGGACCGCACCGUGAGGGUGUGGUGGAAAGUUUUUCGGUGUGGGAUGGGCCCGCGGCCUAUCAGCUUGUUGGUGGGGUAAUGGCCUACCAAGGCGGCGACGGGUAGCCGGCCUGAGAGGGUGGACGGCCACAUUGGGACUGAGACACGGCCCAGACUCCUACGGGAGGCAGCAGUGGGGAAUAUUGCACAAUGGGCGGAAGCCUGAUGCAGCGACGCCGCGUGGGGGAUGACGGCCUUCGGGUUGUAAACUCCUUUCACCAUCGACGAAGGUUUUCUGACGGUAGAUGGAGAAGAAGCACCGGCUAACUACGUGCCAGCAGCCGCGGUAAUACGUAGGGUGCGAGCGUUGUCCGGAAUUACUGGGCGUAAAGAGCUCGUAGGUGGUUUGUCGCGUCGUCUGUGAAAUUCCGGGGCUUAACUCCGGGCGUGCAGGCGAUACGGGCAUAACUUGAGUACUGUAGGGGAGACUGGAAUUCCUGGUGUAGCGGUGAAAUGCGCAGAUAUCAGGAGGAACACCGGUGGCGAAAGGCGGGUCUCUGGGCAGUAACUGACGCUGAGGAGCGAAAGCAUGGGUAGCGAACAGGAUUAGAUACCCUGGUAGUCCAUGCCGUAAACGGUGGGCGCUAGGUGUAGGGGUCUUCCACGACUUCUGUGCCGUAGCUAACGCAUUAAGCGCCCCGCCUGGGGAGUACGGCCGCAAGGUUAAAACUCAAAGGAAUUGACGG
RNAcentral lists this ribosomal RNA (896 nucleotides) under uncultured bacterium. Its description in RNAcentral is "bacterial SSU rRNA". It matches the Rfam family "Bacterial small subunit ribosomal RNA", at positions 8 to 916 of the family's 1533-position model. The record is from RNAcentral.